This 85-nucleotide transfer RNA is filed under the name uncultured bacterium. RNAcentral's name for it is "tRNA-Tyr". It matches the Rfam family "tRNA". From Rfam's summary of the family: Transfer RNA (tRNA) molecules are approximately 80 nucleotides in length. Their secondary structure includes four short double-helical elements and three loops (D, anti-codon, and T loops). The record is from RNAcentral.
GGGUGUGUGUCCCGAGCGGCAAAGGGGGCGGUCUGUAAAACCGCUGGCUUAGCCUUCGCAGGUUCGAGUCCUGCCACACCCACCA